This 25-nucleotide microRNA is filed under the name Bombyx mori (domestic silkworm). Its description in RNAcentral is "bmo-miR-3238". Lineage: Eukaryota; Metazoa; Arthropoda; Insecta; Lepidoptera; Bombycidae. The record is from miRBase by way of RNAcentral.
AAAUGAAUCAUGCAUUGACUACAUG